GAUGAACGCUAGCUACAGGCUUAACACAUGCAAGUCGAGGGACCGGCGCACGGGUGAGUAACACGUAUCCAACCUGCCCUUUACUCGGGGAUAGCCUUUCGAAAGAAAGAUUAAUACCCGAUAUAAAGGAUGGGGAUGCGUUCCAUUAGGUUGUUGGUGAGGUAACGGCUCACCAAGCCUUCGCUGGAUAGGGGUUCUGAGAGGAAGGUCACCCACAUUGGAACUGAGACACGGUCCAAACUACUACGGGAGGCAGCAGUGAGGAAUAUUGGUCAAUGGGCGCUAGCCUGAACCAGCCAAGUAGCGUGAAGGAUGAAGGCUUCGGGUUGUAAAGUACUUUCAGUCGGGAGGCGUUACCGACAGAAGAAGCACCGGCUAACUCCGUGCCAGCAGCCGCGGUAAUUC
This 405-nucleotide ribosomal RNA is filed under the name uncultured bacterium. RNAcentral's name for it is "partial 16S ribosomal RNA". It matches the Rfam family "Bacterial small subunit ribosomal RNA", at positions 28 to 526 of the family's 1533-position model. The record is from RNAcentral.